AUAAAAUAUGGUGGUAGAGUGAACCUUCACCACCGCCAACAACUUGCAACCAACCGUUAUGGAUCCACGGUUUGUAACCGGAAACAAGCUGCAUCACCAUUCAACCGUCAUAUAUACAUCGUUUUAAUUGAGAGUUCUUCAUUACUGUCUUCAUCGCGUAACCACCGCAAAGGGUGCAUCCUUCUUCGCCCAUCCGCCAUUGAAGC
This 206-nucleotide long non-coding RNA is filed under the name Trifolium pratense (red clover). RNAcentral describes it as "long non-coding RNA (TPRA_LNC008268)". Lineage: Eukaryota; Viridiplantae; Streptophyta; Magnoliopsida; Fabales; Fabaceae. The record is from RNAcentral.